UGGGGAAUAUUGGACAAUGGGCGAAAGCCUGAUCCAGCAAUACCGCGUGUGUGAAGAAGGCCUUCGGGUUGUAAAGCACUUUAAGUUGGGAAGAAAAAGCUUCACCUAAUACGUGAAGCCUUGACGGUACCGACAGAAUAAGCACCGGCUAACUCUGUGCCAGCAGCCGCGGUAAUACAGAGGGUGCUAGCGUUAAUCGGAUUUACUGGGCGUAAAGCGUGCGUAGGUGGUUUGAUAAGUCGAUUGUGAAAGCCCCGGGCUUAACCUGGGAAUUGCGGUCGAUACUGUCAGACUCGAAAACGGUAGAGGGAGGUGGAACUCCAGGUGUAGCGGUGAAAUGCGUAGAUAUCUGGAAGAACACCGAUGGCGAAGGCAGCCUCCUGGGCCUGUUUUGACACUGAGGCACGAAAGCGUGGGUAGCAAACAGGAUUAGAUACCCUGGUAGUCCACGCCGUAAACGAUGAGAACUUGACGUUGGUUUGCUUAGCAAAUCGGUGUCGUAGCUAACGCGAUAAGUUCUCCGCCUGGGGAGUACGGCCGCAAGGUUG
This 548-nucleotide ribosomal RNA is filed under the name uncultured bacterium. RNAcentral describes it as "bacterial SSU rRNA". It matches the Rfam family "Bacterial small subunit ribosomal RNA", at positions 355 to 896 of the family's 1533-position model. The record is from RNAcentral.